UACGAAGGGGGCUAGCGUUGCUCGGAAUCACUGGGCGUAAAGGGUGCGUAGGCGGGUCUUUAAGUCAGAGGUGAAAUCCUGGAGCUCAACUCCAGAACUGCCUUUGAUACUGAGGAUCUUGAGUAUGGGAGAGGUGAGUGGAACUGCGAGUGUAGAGGUGAAAUUCGUAGAUAUUCGCAAGAACACCAGUGGCGAAGGCGGCUCACUGGCCCAUUACUGACGCUGAGGCACGAAAGCGUGGGGGGCAAACAGG
RNAcentral lists this ribosomal RNA (253 nucleotides) under uncultured bacterium. RNAcentral describes it as "partial 16S ribosomal RNA". It matches the Rfam family "Bacterial small subunit ribosomal RNA", at positions 524 to 776 of the family's 1533-position model. The record is from RNAcentral.